GAUGAACGCUGGCGGCGUGCCUAAUACAUGCAAGUCGAGCGAACAGAUGAGGAGCUUGCUCCUCUGACGUUAGCGGCGGACGGGUGAGUAACACGUGGAUAACCUACCUAUAAGACUGGGAUAACUUCGGGAAACCGGAGCUAAUACCGGAUAAUAUAUUGAACCGCAUGGUUCAAUAGUGAAAGACGGUUUUGCCGUCACUUAUAGAUGGACGCGCGCCGCAUUAGCUAGUUGGUAAGGUAACGGCUUACCAAGGCAACGAUGGGUAGCCGGCCUGAGAGAGUGACCGGCCACAUUGGGACUGAGAGACGGCCCAGACGCCUACGGGAGGCAGCAGUAGGGAAUAUUACACAAUGGGCGGAAGCCUGAUGCAGCAACGCCGCGUGCGGGAUGACGGCCUUCGGGUUGUAAACCGCUUUCGCCGGUGACGAAGCGUGAGUGACGGUAAUGGGUAAAGAAGCACCGGCUAACUACGUG
RNAcentral lists this ribosomal RNA (477 nucleotides) under uncultured bacterium. RNAcentral describes it as "partial 16S ribosomal RNA". It matches the Rfam family "Bacterial small subunit ribosomal RNA", at positions 28 to 507 of the family's 1533-position model. The record is from RNAcentral.